UUGACCUCGGAUCAGGUAGGAAUACCCGCUGAACUUAAGCAUAUAAACG
RNAcentral lists this ribosomal RNA (49 nucleotides) under Pestalotiopsis photiniae. Its description in RNAcentral is "partial 28S ribosomal RNA". Lineage: Eukaryota; Fungi; Ascomycota; Sordariomycetes; Amphisphaeriales; Sporocadaceae. The record is from RNAcentral.